CGAACAGACGGGGAGCUUGCUCCCCCGACGUUAGCGGCGGACGGGUGAGUAACACGUGGGUAACCUACCUAUAAGACUGGAAUAACUCCGGGAAACCGGGGCUAAUGCCGGAUAACAUGUUGGACCGCAUGGUCCUACAGUGAAAGACGGUCUUGCUGUCACUUAUAGAUGGACCCGCGCCGUAUUAGCUAGUUGGUAAGGUAACGGCUUACCAAGGCAACGAUACGUAGCCGACCUGAGAGGGUGAUCGGCCACACUGGAACUGAGACACGGUCCAGACUCCUACGGGAGGCAGCAGUAGGGAAUCUUCCGCAAUGGGCGAAAGCCUGACGGAGCAACGCCGCGUGAGUGAUGAAGGCCUUCGGGUCGUAAAACUCUGUUAUUAGGGAAGAACAAAUGUGUAAAUAACUAUGCACGUCUUGACGGUACCUAAUCAGAAAGCCACGGCUAACUACGUGCCAGCAGCCGCGGUAAUACGUAGGUGGCAAGCGUUAUCCGGAAUUAUUGGGCGUAAAGCGCGCGUAGGCGGUUUCUUAAGUCUGAUGUGAAAGCCCACGGCUCAACCGUGGAGGGUCAUUGGAAACUGGGAAACUUGAGUGCAGGAGAGGAAAGUGGAAUUCCAUGUGUAGCGGUGAAAUGCGCAGAGAUAUGGAGGAACACCAGUGGCGAAGGCGACUUUCUGGUCUGCAACUGACGCUGAUGUGCGAAAGCGUGGGGAUCAAACAGGAUUAGAUACCCUGGUAGUCCACGCCGUAAACGAUGAGUGCUAAGUGUUAGGGGGUUUCCGCCCCUUAGUGCU
Molecule: ribosomal RNA, 799 nt
Filed under: uncultured Staphylococcus sp.
Lineage: Bacteria; Bacillati; Bacillota; Bacilli; Caryophanales; Staphylococcaceae
Description: bacterial SSU rRNA
Rfam family: Bacterial small subunit ribosomal RNA
Source: RNAcentral